CGCACGUUGGUUAAGUGAGUGACAGGUUAGGCAGGAGAUCAGGAACGCAAUAGAGAAUAUUCAACAACAAUCAAUCCAUCAUUAAAGGUCUUCGUUUCUCCACUCUCUGCCUUUCUCAUCACUUAUCCAAAGGUCGCCUUCUCUCUUUCUCUCUCUCUCACGCCUUCAGAUUCCUCUGCCUUUUCAUUUCUCACUGUAAGUUCUUCUUCCUCUCAGCUUCAAUCCCCAUUAUAAAAAUCGUAUCUUUUUUUUUUUAAUUAAUCGCGAGCUAAAAGCUGUAAUUUUGAAAAUCGAUCCCGUUUAGCGUCUUGUUUCUAGGUUCCAUUUUCAGCUAAUCAAACUGGAAAAUGCGAACGGAUUUCGGAUCCUGGUGGUGGUUUCAGAUACAGAUUUGUUUUCUGAUUUUUUGUUGAUUUGUUUCACUUUUUUGUUUUUUUUUUCACGGAUACUAGAUCGAGGAUUUUUGGCUUUUAAGUGUUUACAGCUUUCUGAAUGACUUGAAAGAUUGGUUCCUGAGAAAAAGGGGAAGAUUGAAGAUUGUACGACUUGUUUACCAGUUGGAUAUUUUUUUCAAAAGAUCUCUAGUUGAAAAAAAAAAAAAAAGCAAAAGCUGGAGAUAAUUGAGCUGAGGCAAGUAGCUUGUUGUGGGCUAUCUUAGUCUUGACUGAAAGAGAGUGUAGAAUUUAAUGAAUUUCUUCAUGCAUAUAAAUGAGUCAAGGGAGUGUUGUAAAAGAUGUGGGAAUCAAGUGCAUAGUGUGUUCAGGCCUCAGGAUUGUGAAGACAGUGAAUAUAUGGUGAUUAUUAGGUUAUCUGGUAAAUUCCAGCUAGGACAGUGGGAUGUAGGUUUUGAGAAGCUUGUGUUCCAUGUUUAGAGUUUUUUAAAUGAUAGAUAUAGGCCUCUCGCAUAUUUUGUUUCAUCAGAAACUUCAAGUUCUGUUUUAAUUAACACUUUUAAUUUUACUGAAAAGAUUGUACUUUUACUAACUUCCUUGCAUAACUGUAUUAGCAUGUCUCUGUGUGUGAAGAUUAAAAAACAAUGUCACAUCUCAAAGAAUAAAAUAAUAAUGAAAUAUGGUCGAUCAUAUGUGAUACUUUUGUUAUUGUUGAAUAUUUAGGCAACCAUGAGUGACAAGGGAGACAAGUUAUGCCCAUUGUGUACUGAGGAGAUGGAUUUGACAGAUCAGCAAUUGAAACCAUGCAAAUGUGGUUAUGAGAUUUGUGUUUGGUGCUGGAAUCACAUCAUGGAAUUGGCUCAAAAGGAUAAUACUGAGGGUCGUUGUCCGGCAUGCCGCACAUCCUAUGACAAGGAGAGAAUUGUGGAGAUGGCGGCAAACUGUGAAAGACUGGUGGCUGAAAUAAAUUCUGAGCGAAAACUAAAAUCACAGAAGGCGAAGCCAAAAGUAUCUGAUGGAAGGAUGCAUCUUAGCAAUGUCAGAGUUAUUCAACGGAAUCUAGUGUACAUAAUUGGAUUACCACUCAACCUUGCAGAUGAAGCUGUUCUUCAGCAAAGAGAGUACUUUGGCCAAUAUGGAAAGGUUCUGAAGGUGUCUAUUUCUAAAACAGCAACUGGGGUUAUUCAACAUUCUUCAAACAACAGUUGUUGUGUGUAUAUAACAUAUUCAAAAGAGGAGGAAGCUGUUCGAUGUAUUCAGUCAGUACACAGUUUUGUCUUAGAAGGUAGAACCUUAAGGGCAUGUUUUGGAACCACCAAGUACUGCCAUGCAUGGCUUAAAAACAUGGUAUGUAUGCACGUGCUUCCCCCCUUUUUCUCUCCUAAUGCGCAAAAUAAUCAUAAUGAGAGUUCUACGAAAGAUUAGAAAUUGCUGAAGAAAGAACAAGAUGAAAUAUUUUUUAGGCAAUUAGAAAAUAAAGAAAGAUUAAGGCUUCUAAUGUUUCAUGGAAAAUAACUUUUAUAUGAAAAUUAGUUGUUGAGAAAAUUAAUAAGUUUCCACUGGUUUUAACAUUGAAAAUAAUGUGGAAAAUUACAUUUUGGCAGUUGGAUUACAUGAGAAAUAGUUUUAUUUAAUGAAGACAACCAUGAAGAUGUUCCUUUUGUAGUUGAAUAGGCAAAAUUACAUAAGAAAGGUAAUUUGUAGUGUUUGUGGGACUCAUGGCCAAUGGGCUAUGUCUAAUUGGCUACUUGAGAUUAUUGAUGUUGGUUGGUGGUCUUGUAUAUGUAAUGUACAUUGUCCACUUCUAGAUUUCUUCCCCUUUUAUGAGUCUUGUGGCAGUCUGGACUUUACAUUUUAAAAAUAGGUUAUUGUAAAAUGACUUAAUUUUCCUGUUGUCCCAUUGACCAAUUUUCCUAUGGCCUCCAAACAUCGGAUCGGAAAGUGUGUAAAAUAUUUUCUGCAAACAAAACAGAACCUUAAUAUAUUCACAAUUAUUCUUUGUAAGUUUGCAAAGCAAGCGAAGCAAGAACUGAGCUAUCCUAGAUAUUGGUAUGAUUAGUGCUUCUGUUGGUCCAGCCUUGCAGCAUUCCAGAUUGUUUGUAUUUGCAUGAAUUUGGCACUCAGGAAGAUAGUUUUACGAAAGAUGAUUUAGUUUCUGCAUUUACAAGGAGUAAAGUUCAGCAAAUUGUUGGCGCUACAAUUAAUUUGCAUCGGCGUUCAGGAAAUGUCUUACCACCCCCUGUGGAUGAGUAUACUGAUAGAAACAUAUCAUCAACAGUCAAACUCGACUCCAAAAGUUCUUUAAAUCGGAAUAUUGGAAAUUGUGAUAGUGGAUCUUGUGCCGAUAGUGAUACUCCUGCACUGGCCUCAUGGUAUAAGAUUUGGUGUUUUAUAGCAUGAGAAUUGCAUCUUUUGUGGUAUUUGGCAUCCUAAAUUUUUUCUCAUGUGUCUUAAUUUUCUUGUUAGGGUCAUGUGUGUCUCUUCUGGUGUACCAUUAGUUACAAAUUUGUCAGGUUCAGAUUCAGAUGGAACUCUGAGUCAUAAGCCUGAAACAUCAAGUGGAACACAAGUUUUUGCACCUGAAGUUGUGAGCACCAAAAUACCCAGUGAUGCUAAAAGAACAAUGAUACCUGAAGAAAGUUGUGAACUGCAUCCUAUCCUUGUGACAUCUAGCAAUAUUGCUAUACCACCUGCUGGUGCAAGCUCUUUAGGAGCAGCCAAACCAUCAUGUACUCUGCAUGAAGAUGAAAAUUUUCAUGAACAUGGAGACUUUCAGGGAUUAUGCUCUGCAUUAUCGUCAAUUAGAAUUGAUAGCCAUCUUAAGAAUGAGAACUCUAAUCCUGUCAUUUCAGAAAGUUUAAUUUAUAAUCAUAACCUGCACACAAGUGAAGGCUCACAACAAGAUGUGAACCUACUUAUGAAAUCUUCUGCCUUACCAGCACUAAGGGAAAACUCAAUUGUCAAGGAUUUAUUAGGUGAUCAGCAGCUUGAAGGUUCUAGAGACAUCCAUAAUCUACCAUCCAUGUUUUGUCUACUUUCUUCAGAACAGAAUUUUAAAGAGCCAAAUCAUCAUUCUUGGAAGCAGGGUGAGAUUAGUCAUCAGAGUUCUUUUGAUGCCUAUCCAAGCACUGUACCCAUUAAAUGUGAAGCUGAUGCCUUUCCAUUGCGACCUGCCCAGCCAGUGCUAACCAGUGGAUUCUUUGACAACCAACCUAGUAGUGGCCUGCAAAUGGAUGGGACUUCUAAUUAUUCUAAUGUCUUGACUGACAAGGGAUUAGGGAAGUACUUGGAAGGAUGUGAUGAUACUGAAGGUAGUGCUAACAAUGAAGUUGCUCCAGAUAGAGGGGAAAACAACAUUAUCUCAAGUAUUCUAUCUAUGGAUUUUGAUGCAUGGGAAAAUACAUUGACAUCACCUCAGAGUUUAGUUAAGUUGCUGGCUGAAACUGAUGGACAGUAUAGUUCCCUGAGAAUACCAAGUUUAAGAAAAAUACAAGAUAGCAAUCAGUCAAGGUUCUCAUUUGCCAGACAGGAUGAUUUCUUUAACCAAGAGUCUAAUUUGAGGCAUUCAGUUCCUGAUGCUAUCAAUUGUUCUACUUUACGUCAUUCUUAUGAGAACAAAGACUUUUGCAUGGACAGACGUUAUGAUAUUUCUUCAAAUGGUAGUUCUGAGGAUUCCAAUAGUUUUCUCAGGGGCCAUCCUUUUUCGGCUUCUAAAUUUUCUUGUGAGCUAUUUUUGAAUUUGACAUUUGUUCUGUCAUUUCUCUUUCUUAUGACAUGGUUUUCUUUUUCACAUUGGUGGACAUAUUGUGAUUUUGUUAUUGUGGUGAGGUUUUUGUCUGGAUUUCAGUUAGUUUUGGGAACAUUCUAGUUUUUCUUAGCAAGAGGGGAAAAGGGAAUAAAAAAUUUAUAGGAUUUCCUCAGAUCCCAAUUCUUUUUUAAUUCUAUUAAUCUUUGAAACUUACUUGCUGUAAUGCAUUGUUGCAGUUGCUAAAGCUCCAAUGUCUACACCGCCAGGAUUUUCACUUCCAAGCAGAGCAGUACCACCAGGGUUUCCUACUAAUGGGGCAGUGAACUAUGAUGCAAACCAUUUGCUACAAAAUUCUGCACCAUUAUCUAGGAAUGCUGGCAUCUCCAUUGAUGUUGAAUUCAUGGAUCCUGCAAUAAUGGAAGCUGGUAACGGGAUACAGGCAUUGUGGCUGAAUGAUCCAGGCUUUGACAUGAGGCCACCUUUAUCACCACCUCUAGGUACUUUUAAUCAUGAUACUGAGCUUCCGAUGGUGAUGCAGCAACCUAUAUCUGUUAAACAGAACCCUUGGUUCCUGGAUCACUUCAGGAAUAGAUUCUCUCCCCCAGAUGAUGCUUACAAUAUUUCAUCAAUGCUUCUGGGGCAAUCCCCACCCAACAAUCCAUCUCCAUUUGCACAAUUGACAGCUCAACAGGUUGGGAAUUUGCACGUGUCCCAUGGCUGUUGGGGUGGUUGGGACGAAAUCAAGAGUGUUGGUAAUCUAGGUAUGUCUGAAUUGUUAAUGAAUGGAAAGCUGGGAUUCAACAAAGUUAUUCAGAGUCAUGAGGAUUUGAAGUAUCAGAUGUCUGGUUCUAGCAAUCUAUACAACGGAGGAUUUGCAUUGUAAUUUUUGUUGAAAUUGGAAUUAUUCCUCCUUGAUCCUUGAAUAGACCAAAGAAUGUGGCUGGAAGACUUGGGUGUGAGCUGCUGCCCUUGAUUUGAAUGAGGUUGAGUCUCUUGACUUUUGUGCACAUUGGUUUGUUUGCAAACACCAGAGUUGAAGGUGGGUCCAAGGGAUUGGUUAGCGUAGAGUGGCAGGUCAAAGGAUUACAUGGUUGUUUCUCUCACACCGAGUGGCAGGCUCAAAGGAUUGACACGGUUGUUCCUCUCACCCUUCCAUGGUAAGCUGGAGCGAGAAUUUUGUUAUAGGCAAAGGGUGUCCUAGCCACUGGUUGAACGGAGAAUAGAAAAUUAGAGAUCUAGAGUUCAAUGCUGGACAAAUUGGCUACGUCAAACCCUUGUUAAAUGCCAAAAUUUCACCCAGAUAUAGGAACCUAUUGGUGUUUGUAGAAAAGAAAGAUUGCAUGAAUGGGUUUCUUGAGACAUGAACAUCUAGCCCAUCUAUUAGGACUUGCUUUGAUUCAAUGAUUAAGCUUUUUUAUGUUGUUUUUGCUGAUUCUUCCUACUCUGUUUUCAUGCACUUUGAUA
RNAcentral lists this unclassified non-coding RNA (5604 nucleotides) under Hevea brasiliensis (rubber tree). Lineage: Eukaryota; Viridiplantae; Streptophyta; Magnoliopsida; Malpighiales; Euphorbiaceae. The record is from RNAcentral.